This 465-nucleotide ribosomal RNA is filed under the name uncultured bacterium. RNAcentral describes it as "partial 16S ribosomal RNA". It matches the Rfam family "Bacterial small subunit ribosomal RNA", at positions 338 to 795 of the family's 1533-position model. The record is from RNAcentral.
CCUACGGGGUGCUGCAGUGAGGAAUAUUGGUCAAUGGCCGGAAGGCUGAACCAGCCAUGCCGCGUGAGUGAAGAAGGCCUUCGGGUCGUAAAGCUCUGUUGCGGGGGAAAAAAGGCAGCAUCAGGAAAUGGGUGCUGACUGAUGGUGCCCCGCCAGAAAGUCACGGCUAACUACGUGCCAGCAGCCGCGGUAAUACGUAGGUGGCGAGCGUUAUCCGGAAUGAUUGGGCGUAAAGGGUGCGCAGGCGGUCCUGCAAGUCUGGAGUGAAACGCAUGAGCUCAACUCAUGCAUGGCUUUGGAAACUGGAGGACUGGAGAGCAGGAGAGGGCGGUGGAACUCCAUGUGUAGCGGUAAAAUGCGUAGAUAUAUGGAAGAACACCAGUGGCGAAGGCGGCCGCCUGGCCUGUUGCUGACGCUGAGGCACGAAAGCGUGGGGAGCAAAUAGGAUUAGAUACCCGGGUAGUC